This 429-nucleotide ribosomal RNA is filed under the name uncultured bacterium. RNAcentral describes it as "bacterial SSU rRNA". It matches the Rfam family "Bacterial small subunit ribosomal RNA", at positions 355 to 775 of the family's 1533-position model. The record is from RNAcentral.
UGGGGAAUUGUUCGCAAUGGGCGCAAGCCUGACGACGCAACGCCGCGUGGAGGAUGAAGAUUUUCGGAUCGUAAACUCCUGUCGAAUGGGACGAAAAGGUCGUGGAUUAAUAUCCCGCGAUCCUGACGGUACCGUUAAAGGAAACCCCGGCUAACUCCGUGCCAGCAGCCGCGGUAAUACGGGGGGGGUAAGCGUUGUUCGGAAUUACUGGGCGUAAAGGGCUCGUAGGCGGCCAACUAAGUCAGACGUGAAAUCCCUCAGCUUAACUGGGGAACUGCGUCUGAUACUGGAUGGCUUGGAUUUGGGAGAGGAAUGCGGAAUUCCAGGUGUAGCGGUGAAAUGCGUAGAUAUCUGGAGGAACACCGGUGGCGAAGGCGGCAUUCUGGACCAAUAUUGACGCUGAGGAGCGAAAGCCAGGGGAGCAAACGG